Molecule: small nucleolar RNA, 126 nt
Organism: Cricetulus griseus (Chinese hamster)
Lineage: Eukaryota; Metazoa; Chordata; Mammalia; Rodentia; Cricetidae
Product: small nucleolar RNA SNORA40
Source: Ensembl
AGAAUUUGUGUGUGUUUGUUCAACGAGUGGACAAAGGCAGAUUAGACAGGUACAAAAAUAAAUGCUCUUGUGCAACCCAGAAUUUGUUUUUCAGUAUAAGUUUUGAUAUAUACUAGAAAAAGUAAG